AAGCAGAUCAGCGGCGUGCUAAUACAUGCAAGUCGAGCGGACAGAUGGGAGCUUGCUCCCUGAUGUUAGCGGCGGACGGGUGAGUAACACGUGGGUAACCUGCCUGUAAGACUGGGAUAACUCCGGGAAACCGGGGCUAAUACCGGAUGGUUGUUUGAACCGCAUGGUUCAAACAUAAAAGGUGGCUUCGGCUACCACUUACAGAUGGACCCGCGGCGCAUUAGCUAGUUGGUGAGGUAACGGCUCACCAAGGCAACGAUGCGUAGCCGACCUGAGAGGGUGAUCGGCCACACUGGGACUGAGACACGGCCCAGACUCCUACGGGAGGCAGCAGUAGGGAAUCUUCCGCAAUGGACGAAAGUCUGACGGAGCAACGCCGCGUGAGUGAUGAAGGUUUUCGGAUCGUAAAGCUCUGUUGUUAGGGAAGAACAAGUACCGUUCGAAUAGGGCGGUACCUUGACGGUACCUAACCAGAAAGCCACGGCUAACUACGUGCCAGCAGCCGCGGUAAUACGUAGGUGGCAAGCGUUGUCCGGAAUUAUUGGGCGUAAAGGGCUCGCAGGCGGUUUCUUAAGUCUGAUGUGAAAGCCCCCGGCUCAACCGGGGAGGGUCAUUGGAAACUGGGGAACUUGAGUGCAGAAGAGGAGAGUGGAAUUCCACGUGUAGCGGUGAAAUGCGUAGAGAUGUGGAGGAACACCAGUGGCGAAGGCGACUCUCUGGUCUGUAACUGACGCUGAGGAGCGAAAGCGUGGGGAGCGAACAGGAUUAGAUACCCUGGUAGUCCACGCCGUAAACGAUGAGUGCUAAGUGUUAGGGGGUUUCCGCCCCUUAGUGCUGCAGCUAACGCAUUAAGCACUCCGCCUGGGGAGUACGGUCGCAAGACUGAAACUCAAAGGAAUUGACGGGGGCCCGCACAAGCGGUGGAGCAUGUGKUUUAAUUCGAAGCAACGCGAAGAACCUUACCAGGUCUUGACAUCCUCUGACAAUCCUAGAGAUAGGACGUCCCCUUCGGGGGCAGAGUGACAGGUGGUGCAUGGUUGUCGUCAGCUCGUGUCGUGAGAUGUUGGGUUAAGUCCCGCAACGAGCGCAACCCUUGAUCUUAGUUGCCAGCAUUCAGUUGGGCACUCUAAGGUGACUGCCGGUGACAAACCGGAGGAAGGUGGGGAUGACGUCAAAUCAUCAUGCCCCUUAUGACCUGGGCUACACACGUGCUACAAUGGACAGAACAAAGGGCAGCGAAACCGCGAGGUUAAGCCAAUCCCACAAAUCUGUUCUCAGUUCGGAUCGCAGUCUGCAACUCGACUGCGUGAAGCUGGAAUCGCUAGUAAUCGCGGAUCAGCAUGCCGCGGUGAAUACGUUCCCGGGCCUUGUACACACCGCCCGUCACACCACGAGAGUUUGUAACACCCGAAGUCGGUGAGGUAACCUUUUAGGAGCCAGCCGCCGAAGGUGGACAGAUGACGCCCCGACU
RNAcentral lists this ribosomal RNA (1471 nucleotides) under Bacillus velezensis. Its description in RNAcentral is "bacterial SSU rRNA". Lineage: Bacteria; Bacillati; Bacillota; Bacilli; Caryophanales; Bacillaceae. The record is from RNAcentral.